Molecule: ribosomal RNA, 254 nt
Filed under: uncultured bacterium
Lineage: Bacteria
Description: partial 16S ribosomal RNA
Rfam family: Bacterial small subunit ribosomal RNA
Source: RNAcentral
UACGUAGGGUGCUAGCGUUGUCCGGAUUUAUUGGGCGUAAAGGGCUCGUAGGCGGCGUGUCGCGUCGGGAGUGAAAGCCCGCUGCUUAACGGCGGGUUGGCUUUCGGUACGGGCAUCGCUGGAGUGCGGCAGGGGAGACUGGAAUUCCUGGUGUAGCGGUGAAAUGCGCAGAUAUCAGGAGGAACACCGGUGGCGAAGGCGGGUCUCUGGGCCGGUACCGACGCUGAGGAGCGAAAGCGUGGGGAGCGAACAGG